RNAcentral lists this long non-coding RNA (1487 nucleotides) under Pogona vitticeps (central bearded dragon). RNAcentral describes it as "lncRNA (ENSPVIG00000022730.1)". Lineage: Eukaryota; Metazoa; Chordata; Lepidosauria; Squamata; Agamidae. The record is from RNAcentral.
AUGAGAAAGCAACUUCAAGUGGAGAAUCCUGAAAAUACAAAAAUCUAUAUAAAAGGAGGACUGCAGCCUUAUUGUAGACACACUCACCAAAACAUCAAGCAUGCCCUUCUCCCCCGUGCUUCCUUGUUGGCCUGGCCAGCUAGAAGUAGGGGAUGGAAAUACGGAUGCCACUUCGUGAGAGCACAGUUCUGCAAUCCGCAGUGAACCACUUUCAUUGUUCCUGCCCCACUGGAAGAUUCUGCCAUCAAGCCCAUUCUGUCUACAUCAACAUAGCUCAGAAGAAGAAACUGUCUCAAGGAAGUCCUCAGUGGCCUUCUGAGUGUCACUGCACCUUCUGAAUGCAUACUGUGAGCAUCAACCAGUUGAGAGCGGGGAUGUGCCAACUUUUCACAAAAUUCAAGACAUCACUCAGCAUGCGCUGCUUCAAUUAUAGGCAAGCUCUUCUUAAUAUUUUCACUGAGAUCCAUCAGCUAUUUCUCACUCUCAGUCAUGAAUCAUGACUAAGCACCAGGGUCCAUGGGAAACACAGAUGUGGCUGUUCUUUUGUUGACAUUCUCCUGACACACAGUGCCCAUAGAUAUGAGAAAAGCAAAGAGAGCAGAUGGGCCAAGGAUGACUAGAGCACCUGUUCCCAGGCUUUCAAGGUCUGAACCAAUUUCCCUAGUUGUCUUUCUUUGAGCACUAAGUCUUCUAUGACAUCUGCUAUUCCAUUUCUUAGAUGCAAAGCAAAUUUGAAAUUAAUUGCUACUGUGUGUCUUCAUACAAUAACAUCUACAGGAGAUAUAAAGCAAGACACAGUAUUCCAGGCAUCCAAGGCUUCAACUAUGCAUAACUAGCACAGUCCACAUACUCAGAGCUUGGAAAGAUUACAUGAUGGAUAAGAGCCAUGAUGGCUGGAGCAUUUUGAGAAUUUCAGUCCACAAAGUAUCUUUGUUGAGAUACAAAUAUGCUGUUAGUUUAUUCUUAAUCCAUCCAAUGAUUAAGUCAGGUUGUUUUCAAUAUCAGGAUAUAAUCCUAGAGCAGCGGUUCCCAACCUUGGGUCCUUAGAUGUUUUUGGACUAAAACUCCCAGAAACCUUUACCACUAGUUCUGCUGGCCAAGAUUUCUCAGAGUUGUAGUCCAAGAACAGCUGAGGACCCACGGUUUAGAACCACUGUCCUAGAGCAUAAGAGUGCCUCAGUGCAUAUACAGAGUUAAUUCUCUAUAACACAGUUAUCAAAACAAGCUAUUUUUUGAAGAAACAGCUAUGUAUGUCUGUGCAAGCACAUAAGACAAAAACAAAACAAAGCUUUAAAAAAAAACAUUGUGACUCCUUAAAGACUGGUAUAUUCAAAUGUGAGCUUCCAUGAGUCCACAUUCAUGUCUCAGCAAGGAAAACAUGAUGAGGAAAGUUGACUCGAUCCACAAAAGCUCACACUGAAAUGUAAGUCGAACAGACCAGAUGGAACAAAUCAAAUCAAAUCAAAUAAAACAAAUAAAGUGCCACA